Long non-coding RNA from Herpailurus yagouaroundi (jaguarundi), 1224 nucleotides. RefSeq lists it as uncharacterized. Lineage: Eukaryota; Metazoa; Chordata; Mammalia; Carnivora; Felidae. The record is from RefSeq and is a predicted model, not a curated record. The transcript is spliced from 4 exons.
AACGUGGGGCUCGAUCCCAUGAACUGUGAGAUCAUGACCUCAGCCGAAAUCAAGAUGCUUAACUGUUUGAGCCACUCAGGCAUCCCCUGACGUUUUCUUUUGUCCUUCUUAUCCAUCAAGUACAACUGACCAAAAAUUACACCAGAGAGACUCCUCACACAGUUUAUUUUUGAGAGACUGCUCUUGCUUACUACUGCACUAGCAAUAAUGAUGGGCACAGAGGGACCAGAUGUGUUGCCUGCCCUUUUGGAGCCUCUAAUUUGCUCGGGGAGAAGAGACUUAGAAAACUGAGAAUAUCCUUAUCUAGUAGGAAGUAGAAAGUAGGAGUAGGAGGGAGUAGGAAGGGCUUGCAUAGUAUUGCUGAGGGAACAGAAUGUGGAAGCCACCAACUUCCCAAGACCCAAGUGAUGCUCAGGUCCUGUCAGAGAGAAAGCUAGAAGAGGAGACUAGGAAGUCAGUAGCCAGACGGGGUGUGGCUCAGCUAUUGUCCUCCUUUUCCUGCCCCUUCUGCACUUGCAGUGGCACCAGGCGAUGACAUUAAGGGCAAAUCUGGAGUUCAUGGUAUAUGUCUGCGUGUUUGUAGGAGUGUGGUGGGGAGGGAAAGUCCAAAUAUAUUGUCUGAUCGUUCUCCACCUGUGGUGAGGUUAGGGGGAGCUCCAGUUUCUGGCUGUCAUCCAGGAGCUACUUGUGUUACUGUUUGCAUCAACAUGAUGCCCACAGGUAAUCUAGAGAAAAUAAACUAACUGGAUUAUGAGCUAAAGAAUCAUGUGGGCUUUUCUCCUGCUAGGAUCUCAACAGCUGUUCCAGGACAAACAUUGCCCGAUAAGACUGCCCCCAUCACAGGAUGAAUCUAAAGGACUUCAUUGUGUUUCUUGAGUAUGAUGAAGGGCUGUCCUGAGUCCUGUCGACAGUGAGGGGAUGUUGCACUGAUCAGACCAGGGCUGCUAUUUUUCUGGAUGAAUAGUGAAAUUUGACUCCUUAUUGCCUGCUUCAUCCGAACACAUCACAGAGCAAUUGCCAACAAGCAGUUCUUCUGGAUAAUGUCCUGAGCCUCAUUUUCCAUAUUAGAACACGUGGAAUGCUAAAAUCAAAAAGAUGCAUUUCAAAAUAUUGAACAGUGAAAUGUCAUGUUAUCUGUGAUUGCUUUGAAAUACUUCAGCAAGGGAAAAAAAGAAUGAAGCAAGUAAGUAUCGCAUUCAUAAUUAUUAAAUUUGGGUGAUGUGA